Molecule: ribosomal RNA, 110 nt
Filed under: Planctomycetota bacterium
Lineage: Bacteria; Pseudomonadati; Planctomycetota
Source: RNAcentral
CCCGGUGACUAUAUCGGGCUGGAUACACCCGUUCCCAUUCCGAACACGGUCGUUAAGCAGCCCGAGCCGAUGGUAUUGGCUACCGCUGAGAGAGUAGGUCAUCGCCGGGA